AAUCCGUGCUGCGGACACUUUUGCAAGAGGUCCUUGAAUCGCUCACAUAUCUCAAACAAGGACUCAAGGUCCAUCUGAACAAAUGAUGAUAUCUCAUUACGAAGCUU
Dioscorea cayenensis subsp. rotundata (Guinea yam) is the source of this 107-nucleotide small nucleolar RNA. The record is from RefSeq and is a predicted model, not a curated record. NCBI's taxonomy places the organism in Eukaryota, Viridiplantae, Streptophyta, Magnoliopsida, Dioscoreales, Dioscoreaceae.